UCCCAGACUCCUACGGGAGGCAGCAGUGGGGGAUAUUGCACAAUGGGGGAAACCCUGAUGCAGCGACGCCGCGUGGGUGAAGAAGCGCCUCGGCGCGUAAAGCCCUGUCAGCAGGGAAGAAAAUGACGGUACCUGAAGAAGAAGCCCCGGCUAACUACGUGCCAGCAGCCGCGGUAAUACGUAGGGGGCAAGCGUUAUCCGGAUUUACUGGGUGUAAAGGGGGCGCAGGCGGCGCGCCAAGCCCGAUGUGAAAGCCCGGGGCUCAACCCCGGGACUGCAUUGGGAACUGGCGUGCUGGAGUGCCGGAGGGGCAGGCGGAAUUCCUGGUGUAGCGGUGAAAUGCGUAGAUAUCAGGAGGAACACCGGUGGCGAAGGCGGCCUGCUGGACGGAUACUGACGCUGAGGCCCGAAAGCGUGGGGAGCGAACAGGAUUAGAUACCCGAGUA
This 446-nucleotide ribosomal RNA is filed under the name uncultured bacterium. RNAcentral describes it as "bacterial SSU rRNA". It matches the Rfam family "Bacterial small subunit ribosomal RNA", at positions 329 to 792 of the family's 1533-position model. The record is from RNAcentral.